This 641-nucleotide long non-coding RNA is filed under the name Elaeis guineensis (African oil palm). Its description in RNAcentral is "long non-coding RNA (EGUI_LNC080375)". Lineage: Eukaryota; Viridiplantae; Streptophyta; Magnoliopsida; Arecales; Arecaceae. The record is from RNAcentral.
AAAGAAGAAAGAUAUUGGAAAUCCCACAAUAAGCGCGACUCAUUGGCAACUCAGAGAUCAAAGUUAACAUAAAAAAAAAAAAAAAAAAUCUCGGUCAACAGAAUAAAUAAAAAAGAUUGGGUGAUUCAGUCAAGAGAUCAAAGUUAGGCAUAAGCAAGCCAAACCUCAUUCUUACACAUACAAGUCAAAAAUUCUUCAAAUCUCCAGCUCACCAAGGUCACACAAACCUAGACCCAUCACCCAAAUUUAUAGCAUUAACAUGUUGAACCACCACCAACUACCACCUUUUCCCUGACAUAUGCUUCAGAUCCAAGACAACCAUAUCCCUUUGAUUCUCCCCUGAAUGCCACUCCCACUUACCACCACCACCUCCAAAAGUUGACAAAAACUAAGUAUUUAACUAUUUAAUUACUAACUGGAUAGAUUAUUGAUGAGAUAUAAACUAUGAGAGAGAGAGAGAGAGAAGAGACCAGUAUGCACAUAGUAUAAAUCUAAAACUGUAUGGAUUUACAUCCCACAGUAAAACCUUUUUUUUUUUUCUUCACAAACUCACUCCACAGAGUUGCAUACAAGUAGUUAGAAAACUAAGCAAAAAUACUUUUCUCCAAAAAAAGAGAGAGAGAGAGAGAGAGAGAGAGAGG